This 868-nucleotide long non-coding RNA is filed under the name Anas platyrhynchos platyrhynchos (common mallard). RNAcentral describes it as "lncRNA (ENSAPLG00000025509.1)". Lineage: Eukaryota; Metazoa; Chordata; Aves; Anseriformes; Anatidae. The record is from RNAcentral.
AGUCCAAAGGACAUUUUUUUUUUUCAAUUCACUCCUCCUUGUGAAAAUAAGAAUACAAAUGAAACCAUAGGUGUAUCAUAAUGGGAAGCUCUGCUUAUGAGAUGUAUGUCACCUCUUAAAUCUCUCUGAUAAAGAAUAUCACAACCACAGAAUGACUGAGUUGGAAGGAACCUUUUGGAGGUCAAACCCCCUGCUCAAAGCAGGGUCACUGAGAGCAGGAUGCCCAGGACUGUGUCCAAACAGCUCUUGAAUAUUUCCAAGAAUGGAAACUCCACAGUCUCUCUGGACGACCUGUUCCAGUGCUGUCACUCAUGGUAUUGCUCAUGAUUCAUUCACACAGGAAUGAAGACCCCACCAUCUGUGGUGCUGAAGAAGUGUUUAAAGUCCCAGGCUCUGGAGACACACCAUGGCAUACUGUAAACAGAGCAGGGACCAGAUCAGGACCAGAGGCAACGCAGCUAUAGAGAAGCCGCCGCUUGAGAAGAGGGAAUAUAGAAAGGAUCGUUUUCAGAGGUAAACAACAUAAUGAGCUCCAAUUCUGCAAGUAAUACAGAGAAUACUCCCAUGAACUUAGAACCACUGGUGUUUGCUUUUCUGUAAGCAUCAUUUCAGUUUAUAUAACUGCUAAAUUUGUUAAUUAAAAUCAGCACUCAACAAACCUAAGGAAGUAAAAGGAUUGUAGCCUGUAGCAUUUCAUGAACCAAACAGAACAUCACACUAAUCAGCUGAUCCAGGUUUUUAAUUCCAAUUUCCUCAGUCUCAUUCUGUUAGACCAAUUCUGAUAUCACUGUCAUCCUGCUGGUAUCUACUGACACAUUCAAGAUUCAUACCAACGUGCAAAUAAAGCAUCCCAAUGGAAUUUCCUUCA